AGUGAACGCUGGCGGUAGGCCUAACACAUGCAAGUCGAACGGCAGCACAGUAAGAGCUUGCUCUUACGGGUGGCGAGUGGCGGACGGGUGAGGAAUACAUCGGAAUCUACUUUUUCGUGGGGGAUAACGUAGGGAAACUUACGCUAAUACCGCAUACGACCUACGGGCGAAAGCAGGGGAUCUUCGGACCUUGCGCGAUUGAAUGAGCCGAUGUCGGAUUAGCUAGUUGGCGGGGUAAAGGCCCACCAAGGCGACGAUCCGUAGCUGGUCUGAGAGGACGAUCAGCCACACUGGAACUGAGACACGGUCCAGACUCCUACGGGAGGCAGCAGUGGGGAAUAUUGGACAAUGGGCGCAAGCCUGAUCCAGCCAUACCGCGUGGGUGAAGAAGGCCUUCGGGUUGUAAAGCCCUUUUGUUGGGAAAGAAAAGCAGCAGGUUAAUACCCCGCUGUUCUGACGGUACCCAAAGAAUAAGCACCGGCUAACUUCGUG
RNAcentral lists this ribosomal RNA (492 nucleotides) under uncultured bacterium. RNAcentral describes it as "partial 16S ribosomal RNA". It matches the Rfam family "Bacterial small subunit ribosomal RNA", at positions 29 to 507 of the family's 1533-position model. The record is from RNAcentral.